CGGGACGGGUGAGUAACGCGUGGGUAACCUGCCUUGUACAGGGGGAUAACAGUUGGAAACGGCUGCUAAUACCGCAUAAGCGCACGGCAUCGCAUGAUGCAGUGUGAAAAACUCCGGUGGUAUAAGAUGGACCCGCGUUGGAUUAGCUAGUUGGUGAGGUAACGGCCCACCAAGGCAACGAUCGGUAGCCGGACUGAGAGGUUGAACGGCCACAUUGGGACUGAGACACGGCCCAG
This 236-nucleotide ribosomal RNA is filed under the name uncultured bacterium. RNAcentral's name for it is "partial 16S ribosomal RNA". It matches the Rfam family "Bacterial small subunit ribosomal RNA", at positions 100 to 334 of the family's 1533-position model. The record is from RNAcentral.